AGAGCGCAAGGGGAAUGCCUUGGCAUCAGGAGCCGAAGAAGGACGUGACAAGCUGCGAUAAGCUUCGGGGAGGAGCAAAUAUCCGUUGAUCCGGAGAUUUCCGAAUGGGGAAACCCACUGGAGCAAUACUCCAGUAUCGUGCGUUGAAUCAAAUAGGCGUACGAAGGGAACGCCCUGAACUGAAACAUCUAAGUAGGGGCAGGAAAAGACAUCAACCGAGAUUCCGCAAGUAGUGGCGAGCGAACGCGGAGGAGGCCAAACCGGUGGAUUUAUUCACCGGGGUUCGGACUGGCAUCACGAUCAGAGGUAUCUAGAAGAACGGCAUGGGAAGGCCGGCCAUAGAGGGUGAGAGCCCCGUAUUUGAAAGAGAAGACUGACAGCCAGAAUCCAGAGUACCGCGGGACACGUGAAACCCCGUGGGAACGUGGGUGGACCACCAUCCAAGCCUAAAUACUACCUGAUGACCGAUAGAGGAGCAGUACCGUGAGGGAAAGGUGAAAAGGACCCCGGGAGGGGAGUGAAAGAGAACCUGAAACCUUGUGCCUACAAGCACAUAGAGCCCGUCAAAGGGUGAUAUGGUACUUUUUGUAGAACGGUCCGGCGAGCGAUUGUACGUUGCGAGCUUAAGGUCUUAAGGACUGGAGGCGUAGCGAGAGCGAGUCUAAACAGGGCGUUUAGUAGCGUGCAAUGGGCCCGAAACCGGGUGACCUACCCAUGAUCAGGCUGAAGUGAAAGUAAAAUUUCAUGGAGGGCCGAACCGACCUCCGUUGAAAAGGCGGCGGAUGAAUUGUGGGUAGCGGAGAAAUUCCAAUCGAACUCGGAGAUAGCUGGUUCUCCCCGAAAUAGCUUUAGGGCUAGCCUCGAUUUAGAUUACCGGGGGUAGAGCACUGAAUGGGCUAGGGGGCCACAAAGCUUACCGAACCCUAUCAAACUUCGAAUACCGGAUAAUUGAUGAUCGGGAGUCAGACAGUGUGAGAUAAGUUUCAUUGUCGAAAGGGAAACAGCCCAGAUCUACGACUAAGGUCCCAAAGUUCAAGUUAAGUGGAAAAGGAUGUGCAAUUGCGUAGACAACCAGGAUGUUGGCUUAGUAGCAGCCAUUCAUUCAAAGAGUGCGUAAUAGCUCACUGGUCGAGUGAUUGUGCGCCGAAAAUGUAACGGGGCUAAACUUGACACCGAAGUCUAGGCAGAAGGAAACUUCUGGGUAGGGGAGCAACGUGUACGGGCAGAAGCAGAAGCGGAAGCGACUGUGGACUGUACAGGAGAGAGAAUGCCGGCAUGAGUAGCGAGAGCAAAGUGAGAAUCUUUGCCGUCGAAAGCCUAAGGUUUCCUGAGGAAGGCUCGUCCUCUCAGGGUAAGUCGGGACCUAAGCCGAGGACAAUAGUCGUAGGCGAUGGACAAUCGGUUAAUAUUCCGAUACCGCCGAGCAACCGGAUGCAGUGACACAGAAGGAUAGGCAGAGCGUGGCGAUGGUAGACCACGUCCAAGCAGUGAGGCUGUUGUGUAGUGAAGUACGCACAACGAAAGGCUGGGCUGUGAUGGGGAACGAUUACGAUCGGUAAGCUGCUGAAUUCACGCUGGCGAGAAAAGCUGCUACGAAGCGAAGGCGCCCGUACCGCAAACCGACACAGGUAGGCGAGGAGAGAAUCCUAAGACGAGCGGGAGAACCCUUGUUAAGGAACUCGGCAAAAUGACUCCGUAACUUAGGGAGAAGGAGUGCCCAGGAAUGGGCCGCAGAGAAUAGACCCAAGCGACUGUUUACCAAAAACACAGGUCUGUGCGAAGUAGAGAUACGACGUAUACGGGCUGACACCUGCCCAGUGCCGGAAGGUUAAGGGGAAAUGUUAGGGCAACCGAAGCAUGGAACUUAAGCCCCGGUGAACGGCGGCCGUAACUAUAACGGUCCUAAGGUAGCGAAAUUCCUUGUCGGGUAAGUUCCGACCCGCACGAAUGGUGUAACGAUUUGGGUACUGUCUCAACAAGGGACCCGGCGAAAUUGUAGUAUGUGUGAAGAUGCACAUUACCCGCGAUAGGACGGAAAGACCCCGUAGAGCUUUACUGUAGUUUAACAUUGGAUUUCGGUAACAUAUGUACAGGAUAGGUGGGAGGCGAAGAACCAGGGACGCCAGUUUCUGGGGAGCCGACCUUGGGAUACCACUCUUGUGUUAUUGGAGUUCUAACGAAUUGCCGUGAACCGGGAUUCGGACAGUGUUAGAUGGGCAGUUUGACUGGGGCGGUCGCCUCCUAAAGAGUAACGGAGGCGUCCAAAGGUUCCCUCAGAAUGGUUGGAAACCAUUCGCAGAGUGUAAAGGCAGAAGGGAGCUUGACUGCGAGACCGACAGGUCGAGCAGGUGCGAAAGCAGGGCUUAGUGAUCCGGCGGUAUGAGAGUGGAAUUGCCGUCGCUCAACGGAUAAAAGCUACCUCGGGGAUAACAGGCUUAUCUCCCCCAAGAGUCCACAUCGACGGGGAGGUUUGGCACCUCGAUGUCGGCUCGUCGCAUCCUGGGGCUGUAGUCGGUCCCAAGGGUUGGGCUGUUCGCCCAUUAAAGCGGCACGCGAGCUGGGUUCAGAACGUCGUGAGACAGUUCGGUCUCUAUCCGUAGUGGGCGUUAGAAAAUUGAGGAGAGCUUUUCCUAGUACGAGAGGACCGGAAAGGACGUACCGAUGGUGUAUCUGUUGUCACGCCAGUGGCACCGCAGAGUAGCUAUGUACGGAAGGGAUAAUCGCUGAAGGCAUCUAAGCGAGAAGCCCCCUCCAAGAUGAGUUUUCUCUAUCUUUAAGAUAUAAGAUCCCUUGU
RNAcentral lists this ribosomal RNA (2794 nucleotides) under human gut metagenome. RNAcentral's name for it is "bacterial LSU rRNA". It matches the Rfam family "Bacterial large subunit ribosomal RNA". The record is from RNAcentral.